RNAcentral lists this unclassified non-coding RNA (1143 nucleotides) under Hevea brasiliensis (rubber tree). Lineage: Eukaryota; Viridiplantae; Streptophyta; Magnoliopsida; Malpighiales; Euphorbiaceae. The record is from RNAcentral.
GAAUCUCCAUAACCCUCGAGAAUUUUAUCUCUCCGUGCAAAUCUCUCUGUAUCAAAGCUCGAAAAGCAUAGAAUAGCAGAACAACAAAUCUCAUGGCAAUGGCUGGGCGUCUCAGAUCGGGUCUACCUCUACUCAAUAGGGUUCUGAGAUCUGAUUCCCUCUCUGCUUCCCGAUCAGCCGUUCAACGCUCCGUUCUUUGCCCUGCUUUCACAUCUGAGGCUUCAAAAAAUUUUGCUACUUCGUCAGGACAAAAGGAGGAGAAGGUUAAGGUGCCACUUGCUUUGUUUGGGGGAUCUGGAAACUAUGCCUCUGCUUUGUACCUUGCUGCCAAAAAAGCUAAUGUACUGGACAAGGUUGAGUCUGAUAUUCUUGACCUUGUGGAGGCUUCAAAGAGAAGCCCUACAUUUUCUCAGUUUACAAAGGACUUGUCAGUGCCUUCUGAAACAAGAAUCAAGGCCAUUAAUGAAAUUUCUGCCCAAGCUAAAUUUUCAGAUGUUACAAAGAACUUUUUAGUUGUGUUGGCUGAGAAUGGAAGGUUAAGAAACAUUGAUAGCAUUGCAAAGAGAUUCGUGGAGUUGACCAUGGCAGAUAAGGGAGAAGUGAAAGCUAUAGUCACAAGUGUCAUUCCCUUGCCUCCAGAAGAGGAGAAAGAAUUGAAGGAGACACUGCAGGAAAUAAUUGGAAAAGGAAAGAAAGUUAAGCUCGAACAGAAGAUUGAUCCUAGUAUUCUUGGGGGCCUUGUGGUAGAGUUUGGGCAGAAGGUGUUUGAUAUGUCCAUUAAGACGAGGGCGAAGCAGAUGGAGAGGUUCUUGCGUGAGCCUAUCAACUUUGGCAUCGUGUAAAAGGUGUUGCACCCCUUGAGGAUACCUAUUUAUCAACUUUCCAUCAAUGCUCUAGGAAGAAAAAAAAAUACUCUGAACUUUUUGCUUGGUUUUGUUCUCUUGUACCCUCCAUUUUCAUGUGAUGGGAAAGCAUAUGUUUGCAAAUAAAAAUUUGUUCAGGGCAAUCACAAACAGACCUCUACGUUCUUGAUUUUCAUUUUAUUGGUACUUCAUUUUUUUGAGGUCAUAAUUUGUUUAAUUGUUACUGGUCUAUUUGGUAUUGCAAUUGUUGUUAUAAUUACUAUUCAGAAAAACACCUCCG